GGCGACCGGCGCACGGGUGCGUAACACGUAUGUAAUCUGCCCAUCACUGGGGGAUAGCCCGGAGAAAUCCGGAUUAAUACCCCAUAAUAUUAGAGGGGGCAUCUCCUUUAUUUGAAAGUUCCGACGGUGAUGGAUGAACAUGCGACUGAUUAGUUUGUUGGUGAGGUAACGGCUCACCAAGGCUACGAUCAGUAGGGGUACUGAGAGGUUAUACCCCCACACUGGUACUGAGACACGGACCAGACUCCUACGGGAGGCAGCAGUAAGGAAUAUUGGACAAUGGCCGCAAGGCUGAUCCAGCCAUGCCGCGUGCAGGAAGACGGACCUAUGGUUUGUAAACUGCUUUUGAACAAGAGAAAACCCCCCUUCGUGAAGGGGGCUGAUAGUAUUGUUAGAAUAAGCAUCGGCUAACUUCGUGCCAGCAGCCGCGGUAAGACGAAGGAUGCAAGCGUUAUCCGGAUUCAUUGGGUUUAAAGGGAGCGUAGGUGGAUUGGUAAGUCAGUGGUGAAAUCUCCAGGCUUAACUUGGAAACUGCCAUUGAUACUGCUGAUCUAGAGUACAGUUGCCGUUGGCGGAAUAUGACAUGUAGUGGUGAAAUACUUAGAUAUGUCAUAGAACACCGAUUGCGAAGGCAGCUAACGAAGCUGUAACUGACACUGAGGCUCGAAAGUGCGGGGAUCAAACAGGAUUAGAUACCCUGGUAGUCCGCACUGUAAACGAUGAUUACUCGUUGCUGGGGAGCAAUUUCCA
This 750-nucleotide ribosomal RNA is filed under the name uncultured bacterium. RNAcentral describes it as "bacterial SSU rRNA". It matches the Rfam family "Bacterial small subunit ribosomal RNA", at positions 90 to 842 of the family's 1533-position model. The record is from RNAcentral.